AACGAACGCUGGCGGCAUGCUUAACACAUGCAAGUCGAACGGCAGCACGGGAGCAAUCCUGGUGGCGAGUGGCGAACGGGUGAGUAAUACAUCGGAACGUGCCCAGUAGUGGGGAGUAGCCCGGGACGAAAGCCGGAUUAAUACCGCAUACGACCUACGGGUGAAAAGCGGGGGAUCGCAAGACCUCGCGCUGUUGGAGCGG
This 202-nucleotide ribosomal RNA is filed under the name uncultured bacterium. RNAcentral describes it as "partial 16S ribosomal RNA". It matches the Rfam family "Bacterial small subunit ribosomal RNA", at positions 29 to 229 of the family's 1533-position model. The record is from RNAcentral.